GGACGGGUGGCAGAGCGGUUUAAUGUACCUGACUCGAAAUCAGGCGUUGGGGCAACUCAACCGUGGGUUCAAAUCCCACCCCGUCCGCCA
This 90-nucleotide transfer RNA is filed under the name Verrucomicrobiales bacterium. RNAcentral describes it as "tRNA-Ser". It matches the Rfam family "tRNA". From Rfam's summary of the family: Transfer RNA (tRNA) molecules are approximately 80 nucleotides in length. Their secondary structure includes four short double-helical elements and three loops (D, anti-codon, and T loops). Lineage: Bacteria; Pseudomonadati; Verrucomicrobiota; Verrucomicrobiia; Verrucomicrobiales. The record is from RNAcentral.